CACAUUUCUUCAACAACCAGUCCGUUGCCACCACACCCCAACCAGCGGCAACUCCAAAAAAUAGCCCCCAUAACCGUUACCCCUUCUUCUUCAGAAAAUCGAACACCAAAAACGACCACUGGACAGAAGCCAGUGGAUACUGACCCCCUUUUUCAUUUCUGCUCAAACGCAUACAGCAGCAGCCACACCUCGUAAAUAGCUCUCAAACUAUUCAAGUACGAGCAGCUAUUUGGUCGUGGUUCGAGUCGCUGAAGUUGGGUUCGAUUGCCAUCGAGUUCGAGUUCGUCAGACUUUCCAUUCGUUAGCUUUAGUUAUGGUUCUCUAUUUUGGUUUGGGUUCGAUCUCCUUUACUGGGAUUUUGGGAAUGAAAACGUGGAUCUAGUUCUUUACUGUUGUCAUUCGAGUUCGGUCGCUAUUCGAGUUUCACUCAUAGCUGCGCUUUCCAUCUAUUGUAGCUGCUGUACUUUUUCGUUAAUCGAAAGUUUCUUCAAAAGCAAAAAUUACUGUUGUGGUUGCUUAUCAACGGUGACAUCAAAUUCAUGGUUGUUUCUCUUAGCCUUUAUGUGGCUUCUCAAGUUGGCUUUUGAAUACUAGUUAUGCAUUUACCACCGAGCUACGGUCAAUCGGGCAGUUACCACUGAUCAGUUGGGCAGUUAACGUUACAAAAAUGAGGUAACUAGAACUAUUGUAUUGUAACUUUAUUUAUAUAUACGAUAUGGAUUUUAUUCUAUAUGUUACGGCCCUCAGCGACAAGUCAGAAGUUAUAAGUUGACUCUUAUCUCUCCCCCGAGAUAAUAUCUUAUUAUUAUUACAUUUCAUUGCUGCCUUACAUACUCGGUACAUUCUUCGUACUAACGCCUUUUUUUUUCUGGGGCACUGUGCUUCAUGCCACGCAGGUGUAGAUAGGCAAGGUGAGGAUCAUCCAUUGUAGGCUGCCUCCAGAUAUCAGCUUUUGGUUGGUGAGCUCCACAUCUUCCUAGAGUAUUGUCAAGUCACGUUCUAUAUAUGUUACUUUGUUUUAUAAGGAUGUUAGGGACCCUGUCCCAACUUAUAUGUUAUGGUCAUGUUUUCUUAGAGGUUUUGCAGACAGUGUCCUGUGUAUAGCUUUAGCUAUGACAUGUCAACGGCCUUGUCAGCCCCUAUGUAUCUAUAUAAAUCUUUUUGAAUUAGUUAUAUGAGUUAAGUUCUAAUA
Molecule: non-coding RNA, 1192 nt
Organism: Nicotiana tabacum (common tobacco)
Lineage: Eukaryota; Viridiplantae; Streptophyta; Magnoliopsida; Solanales; Solanaceae
Source: RefSeq, a predicted model, not a curated record